Molecule: non-coding RNA, 83 nt
Organism: Candidatus Daviesbacteria bacterium
Lineage: Bacteria; Candidatus Daviesiibacteriota
Source: Rfam
GCCGAGGUGGUGAAACGGUAUACACGCAGCCCUCAGAAGGCUGUGAGCGCAAGCUCGUGGAGGUUCAAAUCCUCUCCUCGGCA